UUUUCGUGGUGAGGAUAUUUGUGUAAUAAAUCUUUGAAUUUUUCCCAUGCCUCGUACAAGGAUUUGUCAUCCAUUUGCUGAAAAGUUGUGAUCUCAUUCCUCUAGUU
Molecule: non-coding RNA, 107 nt
Organism: Gossypium hirsutum (cotton)
Lineage: Eukaryota; Viridiplantae; Streptophyta; Magnoliopsida; Malvales; Malvaceae
Source: Rfam